This 468-nucleotide ribosomal RNA is filed under the name uncultured bacterium. RNAcentral describes it as "partial 16S ribosomal RNA". It matches the Rfam family "Bacterial small subunit ribosomal RNA", at positions 28 to 507 of the family's 1533-position model. The record is from RNAcentral.
GACGAACGCUGGCGGCGUGCUUAACACAUGCAAGUCGAACGGAAAGGCCCUGCGUUUGUGGGGUGCUCGAGUGGCGAACGGGUGAGUAACACGUGAGUAACCUGCCCUUGACUUUGGGAUAACUUCAGGAAACUGGGGCUAAUACCGGCUAGGAGCUCCUGCUGCAUGGUGUGGGUUGGAAAGUGUCGGCGGUUGGGGAUGGACUCGCGGCUUAUCAGCUUGUUGGUGGGGUAGUGGCUUACCAAGGCUUGGACGGGUAGCCGGCCUGAGAGGGUGACCGGCCACAUUGGGACUGAGAUACGGCCCAGACUCCUACGGGAGGCAGCAGUGGGGAAUAUUGCACAAUGGGCGGAAGCCUGAUGCAGCAACGCCGCGUGCGGGAUGACGGCCUUCGGGUUGUAAACCGCUUUCGCCUGUGACGAAGCGUGAGUGACGGUAAUGGGUAAAGAAGCACCGGCUAACUACGUG